Molecule: long non-coding RNA, 4094 nt
Organism: Astatotilapia calliptera (eastern happy)
Lineage: Eukaryota; Metazoa; Chordata; Actinopteri; Cichliformes; Cichlidae
Source: Ensembl
UAUAUCACAAAUGCAUUUUUUAUUCUCAAAUCAAUGGUUUAGUGCUUUAAAUGUUUAUCUUUUUAGAAAUACAGCUCAUAUUUUACAGUUUAUAACAGCACUUACAGUAAAUGCUGAGUAAAUGAUUAUGGAAAUCUCAAUACGGUUGGAAUCAGACAUCCCCCCAGACAACAGGAAUGUUAAUAGCUAGGCAGUAGUCCACACUAACACAUACUCACAGCCAAACGUGCAUUCAGUAACUCACAAACACACCAGUUUAACCAUGGCCCGCAUUUUAAUUGCAGAGACAAGGACACUGACCUGUCCAUUACAAUCAUUGAUCACGUUAUAUUCUACAGUAUGCAACAACAGAGUCACAAAUAAACAUCAGCUUUUGACAUUAAAGCACACAAACAGAAGCUUUGUACGCUGGGGAGAUAGCAGUAAAAGUAAUACACUCUACAUCUCUGUUAUGUUUUAGUUACCAACAUCUAGAGUACAAAGGCCUUUGGUUGGUUGGUGUCUGGGGAGUAAGGGUGAGAAUGAAGUUUUGUUGUACACUGAUGUCUUUACAUGAUUGGGUUCAAGGCACAUCAAUAAAAGUAACAGCACAGAAAUGUACAUAAUCACGUCUGCACAUGGCCGGUAUCAAGCAGUUUAUUACUAGUUGGUGUAGUCAGGAUUAUAGUGUGAUAUUCACCCAGAAUCUCCUGAUUUUAACCUAAAAUGACAGAAAAGUAUGGCCUAUUAUGAGACUAGGGUGCAUGUUUAUGCAUUUUCUUUCUGUGUAUUACCAAAAACGAAAAAAGCAUCACCUAGUAAAGUGUGUAACACUGGUUUUGGUUGGUACUGUGAUGCAAAAAGUGGAAUAUUAAGCCACCAUCCCCAUGCAGGAACAAACAGAAGAUACAUACUGAAUGUUUAUAACGAAAGGUGCAUCCUCAGGAAUGCACUAUUAGCCCUUCGCAAAUUAACGAAUGUUUCCAAGGAAAGAAACGGCAUACAAGAAGCCAGAGGUCUCCCGUGCCUCUGCUUCUGCCUCUCGUCUGUACACUAUACAGUGAUGGGCACCGGCCUUGAAAGGCAGACGAUUGCCCUUUUCACAUUAGGUGCUGAAUUGUACCCAGCAAGUAACUAACCAAGAUACCUGCUAAUUUAUUUAUUCAUUUUUAAAUUUUUUUGUGAAUAAAAUGACCUAAUUCCAGGUCUUGACUUCACAAAAUGACAAAGAAAGCAGCUACUACAAACAGCGUCUCAUUCCCCCGGCUCUCCUUUGAGCACUACAUUUACACUGGCUUUGGCACAAACUAUCUUCACCAACAUCUAUUAAACACCACGAUGGUCCCGUAAGUACAUUUAGCGUGUCCGAGUAGCCAGUGGAAACGGUGUUUUGUGUGUUUUCUUCAGUAUGGUUCAGUACAUUUCGUCGUUCACUUUAGGUGGGUGUAAAAAGUGCGUCAGCUCACAUUUCACUCCACCAGCCGUGAAUGUGACUGAAAGACUGAGAAAGAAACAGACAGAAAAACACAGAGAGUUCAAGUAAUUAACUCUGGAUGAUGGGAGAUCAGUUCUCACACUGCAGGCUUGAAGACACUAAAUACCUUAACUGCAGUGGGUGAGGAUCUGAAAUGAGUCUUUUCACCGCGGUGCACAUGUUAUUUAGUAAAGCAGAAAAAGGAAAACAUACUAAAAUAUACUGCAUGUUUCAUUACGGUUCCUGUUUACUGUUCACUCUUUGAUUGCUGUUACAUACACAGUCCGGUCGCCAUCGUCAUUUCAUGUAUUUUUCAGACUAUAGUACAAGGAUGUCUGUGUGACAGAGUAUGAAACAGGGCUAAAGCACAUUAAAUCACAGCAUGCCUACAAACUUCCAUAAACAUGAUUCAUAGGGUAUCUUUGUAAUCCUGUUCUGACCUGUUACUGAAGGUGCGACUGACCCUGCUGGAAAUACUACCUGCAGCAGUGACAACACAGACAGAAUGUCACGACAAAUUACUGGGUGUGUUGCCUGCUACAAACUGGGACUUGCCUCUCUGUGUGUGCAGAGCCUCACAUUAAUAUUAUUAGGAGUAGCCUCUUCUACCUCAUCUCUUUUGAUUGCAUUGAUUGCGAGCUUCCGGCCUGACUGAUAUACUGGAACCAACUCAAUCUGACAGUGGAGCGUGUACCCAGCAAUCUUGUUGUUGCUGUAGAGGCUUUGACAAAUAGUCUGGGAACCAGGUGUUGUGAAGGUGUCUUGUGGAAGUGGAUGUGAGUAAAAUCAUGAUAGCUAGAACAGAACGGGAUGUGUUCUGUGGACGUGGUAAGGGUUUCUAAAUUCAGGCUAUUGUGAAGAUCUUUUUGCUGAAGCCCAUACAGAAUAAAUUAUAUCUAUAUUGGUCAUGUUUUUGCUAGCCAGUUGCUGUAGGUAAGUUAAAAUUAGUAAUGAUGGACGAUAUAAACACUAUCUGAUAUAUAAGAAGACUUCCAAAUCAAAGAGGCUAAACAUAUCCUGUAGCCCUUGUGGCUCCAUGGCUUUACUUAAUCUAAGCCCUGACUUUAGCAUGCUAACAUCUUUACAUUGAUAGCAGUUUAUUAUGCAGAUAUUUAUUGAACAUUUUUACUCCUUGCUAACAUGUUAGCUUGCUAAUGUUUCUGACUGAGUUGCAAAUUCAAGGAAAGCUAGCAUGCUAACAUGCUAAACACAAUGUUAAAAGGUUAACACACUCGCUAAAUAUCUGUAUAAUAUAAUUGUCAGGAUGUCAGCAUCAAUGAGCGCCUACUUUUCCAAGGGCUCUAGUUCCAGAAGGGAAUUUCUCCAAGAAACCUUCAUAUUAAAUGUUUGAAGCCUUGACCCAAGCUGAGCAGCUACCAGGUGAACUGUAACAUGAAAAUCUGUUUAUAUAAAUACUUUGAAUGGUGAAGGAACUACUACAUUCCUCAGCAAAUAUCUCCCAAACUUCCUGAAUUUAAUCCUUGACAUUACUGUAGUCUUUUUGAAUGAAUUUUAUAAUUUGUGUUGUGUGUGUUUGGGAUUAGGGUUUCUUACGUUUCAUGCUCAUUAAGUGUUAGUGGGUUUGAACAUUUCCAUUACAACACCAGCUUUAACUAAUCAGAGGCAUUGCUGUUUAAAUUUUGGACAUCUACUUUUGACUGAUUCAGUAUUAUGUAGGUCAUGGUCAAAAUCCUGAUGAAGACUAUGAAUGGAAUUGGCACUUUUCAAAACUCACUAUUUUAUUUUGGGCCUUAUUCUGGACAGAAAAGUCAUGUUUCCCUUAUACCAUGCUCUCUAUUCAGCUCUGUAUGUUCUGGAACACAGAGUAUCUAACUAAAUAUGUAUACAGGCGUUUAAACCUGCUGAACCAAUAACUUCUUUCCAUUAGUUUUGCAGGUAAUUGGAUUUUAAACCACAUUAUCAAAUAGUGUAAAUGACAGACCUGACGAUGGCAAUUGAUGGAAUGUUAAGGGAUCGCCAAAACAUCUUAAUUCAUCAAAGAGGUCUGAUCAAUUUAGCAAAAUAGUGAACUGACAGACCAACACUGCCGAGGCUUGAACCACCCUGCAAGCAACCCAGAGUCUCAAAAUAUAGAUCUAAAUAUAUAUAAAUGUCCGGUAAUAAUAGACUUGGUCGCAAAUUUGAGCUAUAGCUGUCUACUUAUUAUUUCCGCUCUUAAUUCAAUGCAUUAAAUGCAAUUCAGAGAUAGUGAAAUACUAUUCAAAAUAUGUUGAUCAUAAUGCUGUUUGCCAUAUACCGCAACAACAAACUCUAGCGACUGUGAAGACCAACUACAUGUGGUUUUAAAUUUGUUUUGACCUGAUAUUUUCAUAUAUCUAAACUUUGCUGAACUGUUCAUUUGGACAUAAAACUUGAAUGUGUCCGGAAAUGUGUGACAUGUUCCCAGCAGCAGUGUCCUUGAUUUUAAAAGAGGGGCUAUUAUGCUAAUUUCCAACUCCAUGUCAUGAAUUAUUCUUGGGGUUUACUAGAGUAGCUUUGCGCAGUAAAAGCUCAAAAUUAUACCAUACUGAGCAUUGAUGCAGCACCUCAUUUCACCCUCUGUCUGAAACAAGCUCUAGUGCCAGUUUUCUUCUGAUUGGCUGCCCCUCGCAAGCAGAAGGUCUGAAAAGGCAGAGCUUCG